RNAcentral lists this ribosomal RNA (253 nucleotides) under uncultured bacterium. RNAcentral describes it as "partial 16S ribosomal RNA". It matches the Rfam family "Bacterial small subunit ribosomal RNA", at positions 524 to 776 of the family's 1533-position model. The record is from RNAcentral.
UACGAAGGGGGCUAGCGUUGUUCGGAUUUACUGGGCGUAAAGCGCACGUAGGCGGAUCGUUAAGUCGGGGGUGAAAUCCUGGAGCUCAACUCCAGAACUGCCUUUGAUACUGGAGAGCUUGAGUCCGGGAGAGGUGAGUGGAACUCCGAGUGUAGAGGUGAAAUUCGUAGAUAUUCGGAAGAACACCAGUGGCGAAGGCGGCUCACUGGCCCGGUACUGACGCUGAGGAGCGAAAGUGUGGGUAGCAAACAGG